RNAcentral lists this ribosomal RNA (253 nucleotides) under uncultured bacterium. RNAcentral's name for it is "partial 16S ribosomal RNA". It matches the Rfam family "Bacterial small subunit ribosomal RNA", at positions 524 to 776 of the family's 1533-position model. The record is from RNAcentral.
GACAGAGGCCCCAAGCGUUAGGCGGAAUCACUGGGCUUAAAGCGUGUGUAGGCGGACGCCUAAGUGUCUUGUGAAAUCCCACGGCUCAACCGUGGAACUGCUGGGCAUACUGGGCGUCUUGGGCCAACUAGGGGCAGCCGGAACAAGCGGUGGAGCGGUGAAAUGCGUAGAUAUCGCUUGGAACGCCGAAGGUGAAAACAGGCUGCUGGGGUUGUGCCGACGCUGAGACACGAAAGCCAGGGGAGCAAACGGG